AACUCUAAAAUUGAGACUUAGAAUGGAUUUGGGAUUACUGUUAUAAACAAUAGAAGCUGAUUUAUUCAUAAAAAGGUUUUAACGGCUUAUAAUUAAAUUUGUCAGCAUCAGUUGAACUGUUCAGAAAUGAAUGAUGUACACUUAAUGUAUCCAGAUUUGCUUUCGUUUAGGUGAUGUACUUAGGUGUCUUUAUUGUUAAUGCAAACUAGCAAAUGUCUUUAAAGCACAAGUAGUUCAGAACCUUGUCCUGUCCUGUUAUUUCAAUGAGGUUAAAAUAUUUCUGCUGCUUCGAGUUGCUGCUUUUUAUUGUGUUGCGGAGGAUGUUGAACUCUGACAUAACUAGAAUAGUAUUUGCAUGUCCUAUUGUAAGUUUAAGUGUAGUGUUAUAAAUGAAAUAACAUGAAUAUCUCCUCCUUCCUUAACUUUUUACUUUUGAGUAAAACAGAGAAUCUAGUCAAAUGCAUUCUUCCUUCCCCCAUGUUAUUUUCCUCACUUUAGCUAAUUAUUUGCAACUGUCACAAAACGACAACUUGGCAAGUGUGAGGUAUUUUGUCAGCAAGGCUUUCCUUAAAAAGAAAAAAAAAUCACAAUUCACUGUUGCAUGUAGUUCUCGAGCCAGUUCAAGUUGUGUUACUGAUCCAGUCUGCCUGGGGAAGUGUAAAAAAAAAAAAAAUCGGUUCUCAAAAGGAGGCUGUUUUUGAUUCAUGAUACUUGUUCUUACCUGUGCAAGUUAGAAACUGUUUUUAAAUGCAGAUUUUUAUCUGAGCUUUGUAUUGGGAUCUAUCUGUUCCAGCCUUUAAAGUGAACACCUGUUUAUAAAUUGCAUAUGUAAAUUGGAUUGUUGACCAGUUAAGUUGGAAACUAGAUACAAACUAAUAGUCUACUUUGAACUGUUAUCACAGAACAAACUGAUUUUUUUUAAAUUACUGUUUAAACAUCCAUUUUAAAAUGCUUUCCAUCCCACUACAAGUCCUAAUAUGCUUCUGAGUGCAAAGUUAGUCAUAAGUUAAGAAAGGCCAACACUAAGUUUUCUAAUACAGUUUUAAUUUGGCUUUAUUGUGCAUUUUGAGCCCGAAUUUCAUGGCUCUGUCACUUAGUUUUCCCUUACAAAAUCCCCUUUCCACCCCAUACUCAGAUAACAGGGGGCAUGUAUAUUGAGUGGCAAUUUGAUGUUUUCUUCUCAUUGCACAGAGCUUAUUUUUCUGCACUCAGAUUAUACUUUAAAGGCUGUUUUUUCUCCUGUAUUGCUGCUUCCUCACUAGUGUAACUGGGAACUUUCUAAGCAGUAAUGAACUUGGUUUCAUAUUACCUCUGUAAAGUGAGGAAGAAUUACUGUUAUUUUGCAAAACUAAGGUACAAAAUGUAGGUGCUGAAAAUGAGAACCUAGAAACGCUUUCUUCAACGUAGGUGAUAUUCUGUAAUGCUUCAUAUGUUUAAAACACAGUUGCUAUUUUAGAUGCGUCUCAGACGUUCUCUUGAUUUGCAACUCCAGUUGAUUGGACUAGGAUGUAUUGAGUUUGGCAGCCGGAAAAUAAGAAUUCCAGAAAUGAGGCAGCAUCAGGUGAUGGCAUCAUAUCACAUUUCCUGAUGUGUCACCAAAGUAUGUAUAGUCUGUACUGAAGCAGGGAUCCUGGGAGAGACAAACAUGUGGUCAUAUCACUAAUACAUCAUAAAGCAUAUAUGAGACAAAGGUAAAAAUGAGGCUGCAUCAGCAGGAAGUGCUGGCAUUAAGACUUGUAUGUGCUAGACUUUGCAGCUUUGAAAUGUACUUUUAAUAGAUAGUGUGGUCUUCUAAGACUUUAAAAAAAAAAACAAAA
This is a long non-coding RNA of Cygnus atratus (black swan), 1817 nucleotides long. RefSeq lists it as uncharacterized. The record is from RefSeq and is a predicted model, not a curated record. The transcript has 2 exons. Lineage: Eukaryota; Metazoa; Chordata; Aves; Anseriformes; Anatidae.